This 995-nucleotide long non-coding RNA is filed under the name Mytilus galloprovincialis (Mediterranean mussel). The record is from RNAcentral. Lineage: Eukaryota; Metazoa; Mollusca; Bivalvia; Mytilida; Mytilidae.
UUUUAUUGUACCACUGAAUGUAUUUUUUUUACUUUUCUGUUGAUAGCCACGUGGUUAAAUAUUCUGCAUUCAUAAUUGCCCCUAUCAGAGCUUUGGAAAGAUCUAUUCAUAUCAAUAUUUAAGUUCAGGAAAAAUCAAAACAUAAUGUCAUAUUCAAGUUUACCACUGACCGAUCUAUUUACUUUGGUCGACACACGUGAUUUGUAUUUGUAUCUUUUUAUUAGUCAAAUAAGACGUACACGAAAUUUCAACCCUUCCAUGUAUUACAUUCAAAUACUUGUAAUACGAUUUCCCUAACCUGGAGUCUGGACUAAGCAAACAUACAAACUAUUAGUCCCAUGCAUACAGCUACGUUGUUUCUUGAAGGAGCGUAGCUGUCGUUAGUCACGUAAGGCACGUGUCUACACAAAUUUUUUUCAAAAAAAUAUAAAAAAAAUGAAAAAGUAAACAACGUAAUCUGUAGAUGCUCGCCAUUCGAGAAGUCGUCAAAAUUCUUUUAAAAUUAUCAAAUGUCAUGUGUACACUAGUAUAUCAUCCCUAGUGAAUGGAGUAUUGGAUAUAAUUGAAUGGCAUCAUUUCCCCCUUUUAUAUAGAAAAUAUAACUAGAACUUUGGUUCAGAUCAUUUCGUUUCUAUCAACAAAUACUAGAAUAAACCUCAACUUAGACACAAAAGUCAUGAUUUUUGUCAAUUUUAUUUAGUUGUAGCUGGCUUUCAACUGGCCCGAGAACACAGUUAUUUCGUAGUGCAUUUCUUUUAGACAAUAAAUUCAAAUUAAAAAAUCGCACCUGCUCUUUCUCAAAAAGAUAUUACAGUGUUAUGUACCAUUAGUGGGACAAAUAAUAUCAAAAUUAUAGACACUUCUACCAGCUCUAACUCAAAGUAUUGACAACUCUGUGAAAAGGGGUUCUAAAAUUCAGUUUGACAUCUUCAGACGUACUAAAAAUAUACAUUUUUUAACUGAACCAAAUCACUACUUAACACAAAGAUUCAGCA